GACGAACCGUGCGAACGUUGUUCGGAAUCACUGGGCUUAAAGGGCGCGUAGGCGGGCUGCCAAGUCCGGGGUGAAAUCUUUCGGCUCAACCGGAAAAUAGCCUCGGAGACUGGCGGUCUGGAGUGAGGUAGGGGCAGCUGGAACUUCCGGUGGAGCGGUGAAAUGCGUAGAGAUCGGGAAGAACAUCGGUGGCGAAAGCGCUCUGCUGGACUGCAACUGACACUCAGGGACGAAAGCUAGGGGAGCGAAUGGG
This 253-nucleotide ribosomal RNA is filed under the name uncultured bacterium. RNAcentral describes it as "partial 16S ribosomal RNA". It matches the Rfam family "Bacterial small subunit ribosomal RNA", at positions 524 to 776 of the family's 1533-position model. The record is from RNAcentral.